Molecule: long non-coding RNA, 267 nt
Organism: Carassius carassius (crucian carp)
Lineage: Eukaryota; Metazoa; Chordata; Actinopteri; Cypriniformes; Cyprinidae
Exons: 3
Source: RefSeq, a predicted model, not a curated record
UAAUUUUAUUUUUUGAUUUCAUGUUUUCAGCUGACCGUUGUCAGUGAUCAGUCAGUGUUUAUGGACUCCAGUAUCUGUGCAGCCUCUGAAGGACUGAAAAAGGUGACUCUGAAGAAGGACCGGUUACUACUGGAUGAUCAGGACUGUGUUGAGAAAAUGUCACCUGUCAAAGAGCAUGUGUUGAAUGAUGAGCAGAGCUUUUGUGCCCCCCCUGAAGGAGUUUUCACAUGUUUCGGAUGAACUGUUAUUUCAGUGCAACAGUGAAUG